UCGAGAAUCUUCGGCAAUGGGCGAAAGCCUGACCGAGCGACGCCGCGUGAGGGAUUGAAGGCCUUCGGGUUGUAAACCUCUUUCGUAGAGGAGGAAGGGGCCGUGCAGAGCGGUCUUUGACCUAUUCUAGGAAGAAGCUUGGGCUAAGUUCGUGCCAGCAGCCGCGGUAAGACGAACCAAGCGAACGUUAUUCGGAAUUACUGGGCUUAAAGCGCGUGUAGGCGGAUGACCACGUCGAUUGUUGAAAUCCCCCGGCUCAACCGGGGAACUGGCGUCGAUACGAGUUGUCUGGAGGUGGGUAGGGGAGACUGGAACUUCCGGUGGAGCGGUGAAAUGCGUUGAGAUCGGAAGGAACGCCCGCGGCGAAAGCGAGUCUCUGGACCCAUACUGACGCUGAGACGCGAAAGCCAGGGGAGCAAACG
Molecule: ribosomal RNA, 422 nt
Filed under: uncultured Planctomycetaceae bacterium
Lineage: Bacteria; Pseudomonadati; Planctomycetota; Planctomycetia; Planctomycetales; Planctomycetaceae
Description: partial 16S ribosomal RNA
Rfam family: Bacterial small subunit ribosomal RNA
Source: RNAcentral